GAUCCCCCCUCCUCAUGUCGAAUCUGGCCGCAGAAGUGGCCGAGAAGGCCCUCGAGCUCGGCAUGCUCGCGCCAGCGCGCUCUAGGCUCCAUCGGAGGCGGACGCGGAGGCGCAGGACUCCACGCCUCUCCUCUGCCCUGCUCCUUCUUCGAAUCCAGUCGCCUAAGUGCUCGAGGAGGCGCUCGAGCUUGGCAUGCUCGUCGGCGACACCGGGCCCCUCCCUCCUCCUGUUGCCUCGCCGCCGCCAUGAGCCCCUCCACCCUCUCCUGUGUGAUUGUACAGCUCCAGGCAGUCUGUUGGCACAAUGAAUAAUGUCUGCUCUUCGACUGGAGCAGUUCUUCCCUGUUGGUAAUCAGAGGAUACAUGCUACUAAUUCUUCAACUGAAAUUAAUUUUCAGUUUGAUCCAAGAGCAAAUCAUGAACCUCAAGUUUUCUUAGCACCUAUGCCAAAGAGAAGAAGGUUAGUUUCUUUCAAGAAUGAAAGAACUGGUACCAAAGGAACUGCUGUCAGUAAAAGACAUUAUGGGAAGCAAGCUGACACCCCACCGCAACCUGUGCCUAAAGCAAAUGAAGCAAGUGCAGGGGCCAACCCUUUUCUAUGGAGCACAAUUUCAAGCUCAUCAACCAACAUAACCUUUGGCACUAAUAGCAAUCGCACAUAUUGUGGACAGCUUCACAAUGUGUCCCUCACUGAGAAAUCACCAUGAAUGUUCCCUUUCAAGUCACUUCAUAAGUUGUUCUGUUAUUGGGCUUUGUUAGAUAAGCUGAUUUAACUGAGUAUUAUUCUGCUCUAGAUUGUUGCUUCUGGUUGUGAGUGAAUCUAAGAGUUAACAUGGUACAAUAUCUUCUCGAAGAUGAUGUAUUCCUUCAUAAAAAAGGAUGUUGGAGAAGUUAUUAUUGAAGAGGAGUUCAGUCUCAUGUGAUUCUCAAGAGCUAAAAUGGAACAAGAAGUGCAGGCCUCUCAUGUCUACACUAACUAAUCAGAAAAAACGUGGUAUCAGAAAAGGGCGAAUAGGGGAAGAAUCAACAUAGAUAUUGUCCCGGUUUUAUCCCGUCCUGGAGCUACAAGAAGGCUGGGUGAAGUCUACGAUGGGUUCUUUUCCAAGCAAAGAGAAGGCUGAGGCGACUCUGGUCUACAGCUACAAGAACGCCAUCAGCAGGUUCGGGACGAAGCUCACGCCCGCGCAAGUCGCCGUGUUGAGGAGUGAGUUCCCCUCUUGCUGUUAUGCUCUGCUCUCACAGUCAACUGAAUCCCUUUAGUUAGCAAUAAAACUACAGUUGCAA
Long non-coding RNA from Triticum aestivum (bread wheat), 1284 nucleotides. RefSeq lists it as uncharacterized. The record is from RefSeq and is a predicted model, not a curated record. The transcript has 4 exons. Lineage: Eukaryota; Viridiplantae; Streptophyta; Magnoliopsida; Poales; Poaceae.